GUCGGGAUAGCUCAGUUGGGAGAGCAGAGGACUGAAAAUCCUCGUGUCA
This 49-nucleotide transfer RNA is filed under the name Deinacanthon urbanianum. RNAcentral describes it as "partial tRNA-Phe". It matches the Rfam family "tRNA", at positions 1 to 47 of the family's 71-position model. From Rfam's summary of the family: Transfer RNA (tRNA) molecules are approximately 80 nucleotides in length. Their secondary structure includes four short double-helical elements and three loops (D, anti-codon, and T loops). The record is from RNAcentral. Lineage: Eukaryota; Viridiplantae; Streptophyta; Magnoliopsida; Poales; Bromeliaceae.